RNAcentral lists this ribosomal RNA (446 nucleotides) under uncultured prokaryote. Its description in RNAcentral is "bacterial SSU rRNA". It matches the Rfam family "Bacterial small subunit ribosomal RNA", at positions 355 to 796 of the family's 1533-position model. The record is from RNAcentral.
UCGAGAAUCUUCGGCAAUGGGCGCAAGCCUGACCGAGCGACGCCGCGUGCGGGAUGAAGGCCUUCGGGUUGUAAACCGCUGUCAGAGGGAAACAAAUGUUCAGGGGUUCUCCCCUGGAUUUGAGUGAACCUCAGAGGAAGCGCAGGCUAAGUUCGUGCCAGCAGCCGCGGUAAGACGAACUGCGCGAACGUUAUUCGGAAUCACUGGGCUUAAAGGGUGCGUAGGCGGCCUAGCAGGUCGGGUGUGAAAUCCCUCGGCUCAACCGAGGAAUGGCGCCCGAAACCGCUGGGCUGGAGGAAGACAGAGGUGCGCGGAACUGAUGGUGGAGCGGUGAAAUGCGUUGAGAUCAUCAGGAACACCGGUGGCGAAAGCGGCGCACUGGGUCUUUUCUGACGCUGAGGCACGAAAGCUAGGGGAGCGAACGGGAUUAGAUACCCCCGUAGUCC